This is a long non-coding RNA of Strigops habroptila (Kakapo), 4311 nucleotides long. RefSeq lists it as uncharacterized. NCBI's taxonomy places the organism in Eukaryota, Metazoa, Chordata, Aves, Psittaciformes, Psittacidae. The record is from RefSeq and is a predicted model, not a curated record. The transcript has 2 exons.
GGCUGUGUGGUGUUGAGUUACUGGCUGGGGUUAAGCCAUGACAACGUGUUAUUUAAUAAGUUGCUGUAUUUAUUGCCAUGAAGCUACAGCAGUAAUUCUUCUCAUUUACUGUCUUUUGGAUUUCCAAGUUUCAUAUUAAAUCUGCCCAGAAAGUUCAAACACCCCCUUGUCAGAUACUGUCAGAUACCAAAUAACUUCAGAACCGGGAGAUCCAAACCAUGUUUGUGGCUGACUAUACCACUGCUGGUGUUUCCACAUCAUUUUUAAAUUAUGGUUUUUGAUAAUGUGUGCCAAAAAGAAAGAUGGACUGCAGGAUUUCAUUUUUGCAGUGGUUAAAGGUGACAUUAGUGGUAGGUGAUAAACAGCGAGUCAGAAUAUAGGAUAAGACAAAAGCAGAAGAUAGACUAGGGAGGAGAGGAAGAAUGCAGUUGACUAAAUGCCAGUCAUUUUAGAAAUGAGGUGCAGGGUAGUUUUUUGAGCAGAGACCAUUGACAAUAGCAUGCGUGUCAAUAUUUGUUUAGUAAACCCAAAGCUUGCUAAAAGUUUUCUUUAGGGUAUAGAACUUUUCCUGUUUUCUUUCUUAAAGCAGAAAAUUCUCAUUAGUGUUUCUGGAAAGGAAAUAUGUGUUUCACAAAGAUAUCAUAUGUUGGUUCAAUAGUUUAUUGGCUUCCUGUUACUGAUUCUUGCCAUUCUGAAGAGGAAUGUACCCCAGUUGUCUUGGACAGGAAACUACUUUGAUUUUAAUAAAAAAGUCUUAGGCUGUAUGUCAGUGGUAAUGAAUAAUAAAUUCCCAAAUUGCUUUCCUGAGGAAAAUAAACAUAUUUCCCUUUUCUAAUUUUUAUACACACACAUAUAUAUAUUUAUAUGAGCAUACUAGGUUACACCUGUUUUGUGGAUUUGACAGAAUAUUUAUCCAUUUUUUUUCAGAUAGUAAUAUUGAUGAUAUACCUUACUCUACUGUAAUUCUUCCAGGGCCUCAGGAGGUUUUUCAGAAGUGCCUCCAAGGCUUACAUUCCUGUAGUUCUUCCACUGAAGUAUCACAUUCACUAUAGGUGUGUUGCUGUGUACAUAGUGAAAAACAGGUGAAAGAGCAAUGUAAAAUGCGGCUUAGUGUGCCUUCAUGAAUGAAGUUAGUUUUAAAGUUUAUGCAACUGAAAAACAUUAUGGUUUAGAGAAUAUAUUGCUUCUGUAUGAUCAUAAAUGGCAUAUAGUUCUACAUACCAAAUAACAAAGAAAUUUCCGUUUCCCAGUUUAUUGUUAAUCUUUGAGAAUCAAGAUAUUUUUCUCAUAAAGCUGAGAGAAACUUAGGUGAAGUUAUGCAUGAUCAGAUCAGUUUGAAGGUAAAUUCAGUUCUGAUAGGUACUGCUCACAAAAAGAUUCUUAACUAAUGCAUUUUGAAGAAAUCACAGUAGCUGAGAAUAAGUGGAAUAAAACAUACAGUAAGCUAAGUGCAUGUUACGUUCUCUCACUUUUUGUCAUUGCUCUGUAGAUCUCAGCCUUUUUCUAUCUUGUUUGGCAGAAUUAUAGUGCAGGGAUAUGCUUUUAUGAAACAUUUUUAAAUCGCUAGGAAUAGUGAUUGAAUAGGGACUUACUCAUUGUCAAAGGCUAUUUCAAAAUCUCUUAUGUAAGGCAGUAUACAGUGAAGAAAGCCUUAUCGGCAUGUUAGCUGAUUUGGAAGAUUGACGGAGAUCAUCAAGGUGCAUGGAGCUGUAAGAAUUGUUGAAUCAAUGUUACAGUAUUUUGUUGUUCACAGACUUAAGCUGAGUCACUCAAGCCUGACAGAAAAAGCUCCUGGCAAAGCUGGAUGUCAGGUGCUUCAUCAAGUCUCAUGGGUUCUGGGAAAUAAAAAUAGAUCAAUGAAAUAAGGGCCAAGUCCCAGUUUUAAAAAAACUAUAUAUAGGAGUUAGGAUCGCAGAGUAAGUAAAAAUACUUGAUUCAAAAGGCUUCCUGCUUUUGAAGUGAUUUCUUGGCAGGAUUUUGCAGAUUGAUUUUUGAGGAGUAAGAUUAAAAUUCUUAAAUAAGGAGGUUUUAAACUUUCCUGCUAUGAAUAUUAUUCCUUAGUUGUUUAUAAGCAUCUCCAUUCCAAUUCAGUACCAAGUGAACUGACUGUUCUUCCUGUUUGGUAUCAUAAACCUUCCUGACUUAUCAUUCACCUCAAGGAGGCUACCCUUUCUUCCCAUUAUUGCUUUUGCAGACCAUCCUCUCUUGCACAUAAUUAUCUGCACUAGUUUCUUAUGCUCCUUGCAGGCUCAGGAAUGGAAUCAUAAAGUCCUACUCCCUCCUCAUUUUCUUGUCCUGCCUCCCUUUGUAUUGCAAUUAAUCCUUAUGGGAGCUAAUGUAACUGCUUAGAUAAAAAAAGAUUAGUCGUAGAUACACAUUUAAUAUCUCUCAGGUUGAAAUGACCAGGGUUUGUCACGCUCCUGAAUGGAAAUUCUGAGUAUCAUAAACAGACGACAGGAUCUCCAGUGCUGCUAUUGUCUUAUUUUAGCUGAACUCAAGUGUGAAAUAAUAUUCCUGUGGUUACAGGUAUAUUUAUUUAUCCUGGUGAUGUAUUAAGGUAUUUUAGUUUCAGAAGGUUUGUUUAACUUCUGUGUAUUUCAUUAUUCUUCUAUAAAACAGCUGGACUUCAGUUGUAAAUUAAAACUAGUUGUUGUUUGCAAGUAAAUAACCAUCUUUCCUACCACCAGAGAGCCUUGUAACCUUCAGAGAGAGUUUAACAGAUAGAAUGCUUAGAAGACUGUAAAAGUUCUGGAAGAUUUGUCUGUGUCAAAUACAAAGACGUACUUCUUUCUUAAACAGGCAGUUGUUGAUCUUUAACUAUCAAGUAGCUAUUAAAUUGAGGUGCUUCAACUUCCUUUUGGGGAGUAUUUUAUAACAACUGAUACAGUACUUGGUAAUCUUUUACAUUUGACAGUAAGCCAGUAUUUUUCUAUGAUAGUUUUAACCUAUACUUUAAAACUACACAGUUCACCUCUGCUAAUGUUUUGAAUCCCUCACAGUAGAUGUUGUCUAAAUAUGGAGCUGGAAGGUAGGACAGUCAUCAGGAGCAAUGACAUAACUCAAAACUGCUAUGAAGAUGAGCAGAAGUAAUGAGGAGUCUCCUGUGAACUAUAAUGACAGGGGCUCUUACAUGGCACUUACGUGCUGCUGGCACUGGCAUGGGAUAGGAGAAAGGAUAAAAUGGUUCUCCCUAAAGAAGCCUGCAGUUGAGGAAGCCAAAAUUUGUAUGAUAGCUUUGUUGUACGCAGUGUGGGACCAUGUUUGGCGCACAAAACCAGACUACAUCUAAUCCCAAAUUAACCUCUGUAGCUUCAUGUAAUGGAAAUCGAAGGAGCCUCCGCACCAGCUUCUUCAGUGUGUUUAUCUGCUUCCUUGCACUAACUUAUUUGCUAAUGUGGAGAUACCUGUUGGACAUGAUUCAAAUCCCCAUAGACUAAGUUACUAUCUGCAGCUACUGACUUCAUAUUUAAAAAAAAAACCUUGAAAUAUUGUUCAGGUAUUUCCCCUGAGGUUCUGGCCCAUAGACACAACUUUCAUUUCACUGAUGAAUUGUAUGCUGCUUCUAUGCUGCUUCUAUGUGUACUCAAGAGAAAUUAAUUUCAUAUCUAGUAUAUUGUAUCAUUUGUAUCUCUUCUGCAGAGAUACUUACAGAGGUGCUAUAGUUUUCCACAUAUUAGAAGUCAGCAGAAAAAAGUCUGUAAGGGGCCGGAGAGAUACAGUGAACAGAAGACUGCAUGCAAUUCUUGGACACUGUUUCUAAUAGAAAGUGGUAAAUAAUGUAGUAACUCAGGCAAAAAAGCAAAAGUAUAGGCAAAACUGAUGGACAGAGAAAGCUGAAUAAUAAAAACGCAAAGGAUAAAAAUGCUUGAUUUAAAUUAUCCAGUAAAGGUAACAAAUUGCAUUGUGAAUAGCAGUAAAAACAGUAAAAUGGAUUCAUUAUUGGUUGAUCUAAUAAAAAUAUUUUCAAAACAGAAGCUGAAUAUUGUAUCACUUACUUAGGGUCUGUAUUUGUGUAUAUAUGGAAGAGAAUGCAUAAAGUAAAUGUGAGCCAAGCUAGGGAAAACUAGAAUAUAGAUGUGGCGAGUAUGUUUCUUUUGUUAUGAUGCUAGUUGCCAUAGUUGCUAUUGUUGCAGCCAACAAACACUAACUAUGUGCUUCUAAAGGAAGCUGAUAUUUUUAUUGCUUAUACAAGAAGGAAAUUUACUUUGUCCUCUCACCAAGGCAAUCCUUGUGUCCCGCUUUUCUGUGUGUCGCUCCCCUGUUAAUUCAUAUGCAGAACGGUUGUGCAUAAUUCCUCUGUAUCUGCUUUUA